AAGCUCGACGACGAGGAGAUUGCUUCGUACAUCCUCGCUGGUCUCGACAGGGAUUUUGAUCCCGUCGUCUCCGGCGUCUCCAACCGCGACGAACCGGUGUCCCUCGGCAACCUCUACACCCAACUUGUCAGUUGGGA
Small nucleolar RNA from Sorghum bicolor (sorghum), 137 nucleotides. It matches the Rfam family "Small nucleolar RNA Z247". Rfam says of the family: Z247 is a member of the C/D class of snoRNA which contain the C (UGAUGA) and D (CUGA) box motifs. Most of the members of the box C/D family function in directing site-specific 2'-O-methylation of substrate RNAs. Lineage: Eukaryota; Viridiplantae; Streptophyta; Magnoliopsida; Poales; Poaceae. The record is from Rfam.